AAACGUCCUCGUAAGUUGGUGUCU
RNAcentral lists this non-coding RNA (24 nucleotides) under Arabidopsis thaliana (thale cress). Lineage: Eukaryota; Viridiplantae; Streptophyta; Magnoliopsida; Brassicales; Brassicaceae. The record is from RNAcentral.